GGAUAUAAGGGUGAUCGGGCUGGCCAGGUGGGUGUCCCCUUCCUCCCUCAUCACUCACGUGUGUCCCUCCUGAAGCUGCGCGCUUGGUCGAAGAGGACUGUCCUUGGGUCAAGGGUGUAUGAGUAGCUGCACUGUUCUGCUGGAACGUCCAAACAAGCUCUCAAGAAAGCCAAUAGUUGGGGCAAGUUACAAAAAAAUCUUUAAAAGCAUUUGGCCAGAGGGGCGCCUGGGUGGCUCAGU
RNAcentral lists this small nuclear RNA (240 nucleotides) under Ailuropoda melanoleuca (giant panda). RNAcentral describes it as "7SK RNA". It matches the Rfam family "7SK RNA", at positions 52 to 331 of the family's 331-position model. From Rfam's summary of the family: 7SK was discovered as an abundant small nuclear RNA in the mid-70s but a possible function has only recently been suggested. Two independent studies have found that 7SK RNA binds the CDK9/cyclin T complex (known as elongation factor P-TEFb). The record is from Rfam by way of RNAcentral. Lineage: Eukaryota; Metazoa; Chordata; Mammalia; Carnivora; Ursidae.